CCUACGGGAGGCAGCAGUGAGGAAUAUUGGUCAAUGGUCGGGAGACUGAACCAGCCAAGCCGCGUGAGGGAUGAAGGUACAGAGUAUCGUAAACCUCUUUUGUCAGGGAACAAAGGCGGGGACGUGUCCCCGGAUGAGUGUACCUGAAGAAAAAGCAUCGGCUAACUCCGUGCCAGCAGCCGCGGUAAUACGGAGGAUGCGAGCGUUAACCGGAUUUAUUGGGUUUAAAGGGUGCGCAGGCGGUCUGUUAAGUCAGCGGUAAAAGCCCGGGGCUCACCCCCGGCCCGCCGUUGAAACUGGCAGUCUCGAGUGGGAGAGAAGUAUGCGGAAUGCGCGGUGUAGCGGUGAAAUGCAUAGAUAUCGCGCAGAACUCCGAUUGCGAAGGCAGCAUGCCGGCUCCACACUGACGCUGAGGCACGAAAGCGUGGGUAUCGAACAGGAUUAGAUACCCGGGUAGUC
This 459-nucleotide ribosomal RNA is filed under the name uncultured bacterium. RNAcentral's name for it is "partial 16S ribosomal RNA". It matches the Rfam family "Bacterial small subunit ribosomal RNA", at positions 338 to 795 of the family's 1533-position model. The record is from RNAcentral.